GGCGUGCCUAACACAUGCAAGUCGAACGAGAAAGGGGAGCAAUCCCUGAGUAAAGUGGCGACCGGGUGAGUAACACGUGACUAACCUACCCUCGAGUGUGGAAUAACAUCGGGAAACCGAUGCUAAUACCGCAUAACAUCGCAAGAUCAAAGGAGCAAUCCGCUUGAGGAGGGGGUCGCGGCUGAUUAGCUAGUUGGCGGGGUAACGGCCCACCAAGGCGAAGAUCGGUAGCCGGCCUGAGAGGGCGCACGGCCACACUGGAACUGAAACACGGUCCAGACUCCUACGGGAGGCAGCAGUGGGGAAUUUUGCGCAAUGGGGGAAACCCUGACGCAGCAACGCCGCGUGGAGGAUGAAGCCCCUUGGGGCGUAAACUCCUUUCGACCAAGACGAUAAUGACGGUACUGGUGGAAGAAGCACCGGCUAACUCUGUGCCAGCAGCCGCGGUAAUAC
This 453-nucleotide ribosomal RNA is filed under the name uncultured bacterium. RNAcentral describes it as "bacterial SSU rRNA". It matches the Rfam family "Bacterial small subunit ribosomal RNA", at positions 41 to 526 of the family's 1533-position model. The record is from RNAcentral.